Macaca fascicularis (crab-eating macaque) is the source of this 147-nucleotide unclassified non-coding RNA. It matches the Rfam family "Metazoan signal recognition particle RNA". From Rfam's summary of the family: The signal recognition particle (SRP) is a universally conserved ribonucleoprotein. It is involved in the co-translational targeting of proteins to membranes. Lineage: Eukaryota; Metazoa; Chordata; Mammalia; Primates; Cercopithecidae. The record is from Ensembl.
GCCGGGCGUGGUGGUGCACGCCUGUAGUCCCAGCUACUCGGAGGCUGAGGCAGAAGAAUGGCGUGAACCCGGGAGGCGGAGCUUGCAGUGAGCUGAGAUCGGGCCACUGCACUCCAGCCUGGGUAACAAAGCAAGACUCUGUCUCAA